Molecule: long non-coding RNA, 255 nt
Organism: Gossypium arboreum
Lineage: Eukaryota; Viridiplantae; Streptophyta; Magnoliopsida; Malvales; Malvaceae
Exons: 2
Source: RefSeq, a predicted model, not a curated record
GGUACCUUUCUUGGCUGAUCCCUUUCGCUGUAUGGCGUGCUCGUUUGGGUUGGGCAUCGGCUAAGAGUGCUCGGAGCUUGGAUUAACUCCAGUCGCCAAUCAGGUAAUCCCUAAGCUUAGAUGGUUUGGAGCUGCGAGGGACUCGGAGAUGGCCACACUACUGUUUCUGUUUCUUUUAAUUGCAAUAAGUAGCCGAUUUAUUUCUUUAUAAGUUUUAUCUUAUUAAUAUUAUUGUUUCGUUUUGAGUUGUAAUAA